This 253-nucleotide ribosomal RNA is filed under the name uncultured bacterium. RNAcentral's name for it is "partial 16S ribosomal RNA". It matches the Rfam family "Bacterial small subunit ribosomal RNA", at positions 524 to 776 of the family's 1533-position model. The record is from RNAcentral.
UACGUAGGCAGCGAGCGUUGUUCGGAAUUACUGGGCGUAAAGGGCUCGUAGGCGGCCAACUAAGUCAGACGUGAAAUCCCCAGGCUCAACCUGGGAACUGCGUCUGAUACUGGAUGGCUUGAAUCCGGGAGAGGGAUGCAGAAUUCCAGGUGUAGCGGUGAAAUGCGUAGAUAUCUGGAGGAAUACCGGUGGCGAAGGCGGCAUCCUGGACCGGCAUUGACGCUGAGGAGCGAAAGCCAGGGGAGCAAACGGG